This 73-nucleotide transfer RNA is filed under the name Vibrio phage 1.013.O._10N.286.54.F9. RNAcentral's name for it is "tRNA-Arg". It matches the Rfam family "tRNA". Rfam says of the family: Transfer RNA (tRNA) molecules are approximately 80 nucleotides in length. Their secondary structure includes four short double-helical elements and three loops (D, anti-codon, and T loops). Further hydrogen bonds mediate the characteristic L-shaped molecular structure. tRNAs have two regions of fundamental functional importance: the anti-codon, which is responsible for specific mRNA codon recognition, and the 3' end, to which the tRNAs corresponding amino acid is attached (by aminoacyl-tRNA synthetases). tRNAs cope with the degeneracy of the genetic code in two manners: having more than one tRNA (with a specific anti-codon) for a particular amino acid; and 'wobble' base-pairing, i.e. permitting non-standard base-pairing at the 3rd anti-codon position. Lineage: Duplodnaviria; Heunggongvirae; Uroviricota; Caudoviricetes. The record is from RNAcentral.
GCCCCUUUAGCUCAGUUGGAAGAGCACGAACCUUCUAAGUUUGUGGUCGGGAGUUCAAAUCUCUCAAGGGGUG